This 74-nucleotide transfer RNA is filed under the name Candidatus Uhrbacteria bacterium RIFOXYC12_FULL_57_11. RNAcentral's name for it is "tRNA-Gln". It matches the Rfam family "tRNA". Rfam says of the family: Transfer RNA (tRNA) molecules are approximately 80 nucleotides in length. The record is from RNAcentral. RNAcentral also lists the same sequence under 1 other name. Lineage: Bacteria; Candidatus Uhriibacteriota.
UCGGGGGUCGUCUAAAGGCAGGACAGCAGCCUUUGAAGCUGUGAAUGAUGGUUCGAUUCCAUCCCCCCGAACCA